RNAcentral lists this ribosomal RNA (429 nucleotides) under bacterium. RNAcentral describes it as "partial 16S ribosomal RNA". It matches the Rfam family "Bacterial small subunit ribosomal RNA", at positions 355 to 776 of the family's 1533-position model. The record is from RNAcentral.
UGGGGAAUCUUCCGCAAUGGGCGCAAGCCUGACGGAGCAACGCCGCGUGAGUGUAGAAGGUCUUCGGAUCGUAAAGCUCUGUUGAUGGGGACGAACGUGCCUAAUGCGAAUAGUAUUAGGUAAUGACGGUACCCAUCGAGGAAGCCACGGCUAACUACGUGCCAGCAGCCGCGGUAAUACGUAGGUGGCGAGCGUUGUCCGGAAUCAUUGGGCGUGAAGGGAGCGCAGGCGGGCAUGUAAGUCUUUCUUAAAAGUGCGGGGCUCAAACCCGUGAUGGAAAAGAAACUAUGUGUCGUGAGUACAGGAGAGGAAAGCGGAAUUCCCAGAGUAGCGGUGAAAUGCGUAGAUAUUGGGAGGAACACCAGUGGCGAAGGCGGCUUUCUGGACUGCAACUGACGCUGAGGCUCGAAAGCCAGGGGAGCGAACGGG